AUAGGUCACCAUAUCACCUUGAACACACCUAAUAUUGUCUGAUUUCAGAAGCUAAGCAAGGUUAGUACUUGGAUGUGAGACUACCAAGGAAUACCAAUG
This 99-nucleotide ribosomal RNA is filed under the name Pogona vitticeps (central bearded dragon). The record is from RNAcentral. Lineage: Eukaryota; Metazoa; Chordata; Lepidosauria; Squamata; Agamidae.